Molecule: small nucleolar RNA, 125 nt
Gene: SNORA71
Rfam family: Small nucleolar RNA SNORA71
About the family: The members of this family belong to the H/ACA class of snoRNAs which bind a number of proteins (including dyskerin, Gar1p and Nop10p) to form snoRNP complexes. This class of snoRNAs are thought to guide the sites of modification of uridines to pseudouridines by forming direct base pairing interactions with substrate RNAs. This family includes U71 (SNORA71), ACA39 (SNORA39) and ACA60 (SNORA60).
Source: Ensembl
UCCUGUAUCGAAAGUGAUUAUGGCAUCAAUGUUGCCUGGUCAUUGAUAAAGCAGGUAGAUUAUAAAUGAAAAUCCCGUGUUUGCUGGACCUUCAGUUCCACGUUAAACCCUGUAAUUUUCAGACA